This 457-nucleotide ribosomal RNA is filed under the name uncultured soil bacterium. RNAcentral's name for it is "bacterial SSU rRNA". It matches the Rfam family "Bacterial small subunit ribosomal RNA", at positions 26 to 518 of the family's 1533-position model. The record is from RNAcentral.
AGAGCGAACGCUGGCGGCAGGCCUAACACAUGCAAGUCGAGCGCCCGUAGCAAUACGGGAGCGGCAGACGGGUGAGUAACACGUGGGAACGUGCCCUUUGGUUCGGAAUAACUCAGGGAAACUUGAGCUAAUACCGGAUAAGUCCGUAAGGAGAAAGAUUUAUCGCCGAAGGAGCGGCCCGCGUCCGAUUAGCUAGUUGGUGGGGUAAUGGCCCACCAAGGCUACGAUCGGUAGCUGGUCUGAGAGGAUGACCAGCCACACUGGGACUGAGACACGGCCCAGACUCCUACGGGAGGCAGCAGUGGGGAAUAUUGGACAAUGGGCGCAAGCCUGAUCCAGCCAUGCCGCGUGGGUGAUGGAAGGCCCGUAGGGUUGUAAAGCCCGUUUACGGCCGGGGAAGAUAAGUGACGGUACCCGACAGAAGAAGCCCCGGAUAACGUCGUGCCGAGCACGCCGC